Molecule: ribosomal RNA, 440 nt
Filed under: uncultured bacterium
Lineage: Bacteria
Description: partial 16S ribosomal RNA
Rfam family: Bacterial small subunit ribosomal RNA
Source: RNAcentral
CCUACGGGUGGCAGCAGUGGGGAAUAUUGCACAAUGGGGGAAACCCUGAUGCAGCAACGCCGCGUGAGUGAAGAAGUAUUUCGGUAUGUAAAGCUCUAUCAGCAGGGAAGAAAAUGACAGUACCUGACUAAGAAGCCCCGGCUAACUACGUGCCAGCAGCAGCGGUAAUACGUAGGGGGCAAGCGUUAUCCGGAUUUACUGGGUGUAAAGGGAGCGUAGACGGCUGCGCAAGUCAGAAGUGAAAGCCCGGGGCUCAACCGCGGGACUGCUUUUGAAACUGUGUAGCUUGAGUGCAGGAGAGGUAAGUGGAAUUCCUAGUGUAGCGGUGAAAUGCGUAGAUAUUAGGAGGAACACCGGUGGCGAAGGCGGCUUACUGGACUGUAACUGACGUUGAGGCUCGAAAGCGUGGGGAGCAAACAGGAUUAGAUACCCGUGUAGUC